AAAAGUUUGAAUCUGGCUUUUUAAUUGACUUUUACUAAAUAUAACAUGCAUGUAAAACCUAUUAACCCCAAGACAUACAAAAAGGGUCUAAUAUUAGGCCCUUCUUUUUCUUGCCUACAGCAACAAAUAUUGAGUUAAUUAUUUUCAAGAUAGAUCCAAUUAUAGUGAUUUAGAAUGGGGAAAGCUUAUGCCAGCAGCCGCGGUUAGAUCUGCUUAAAUUCAAGUUAAUAAUUUUCGGGGAAGUGAAAUUAAUUUUAUUUGAGAUUUAAAACAAAGUUCCUCUUAGGGAUUCCAUCCAAAUUGAUACUGUUUACUCUUAUUUUUCUUAUUUAUUUUUCACGACCGUCUACACAAAAACAAGGAUUAGAGACCCUUUUAUUGUUGACCUUAAAUUUCUUCACCCAGGGCACUAUUAUCACAUGAUAUAAACCCAAAGAUCUUGGCGGUGUCUCAUACUACUCAGGGGAGCCUGUCUCUGAAACUGAUGAUCCGCAUUAUUCCCUACCUUUCCUUGAUCCUUUAUUCCCAGCUUAUACAUCGCCGUCGAAAAUUUAUCUAAAAAAGAGAAAAAAUAUGGUUUUGUGGGCUCUCUCCCCCUUACGUCAGGUCGACAUGUAGCUUAUGGAAAGGAGCAGAUGGGCUACAUUUUUUUAUAAAUUGGAAUACAUUUUAAAAUAUGUAAGAAAUUGGACUUGAGAGUAAUUUGUCCGUUUUACACACAUAAAUGAACAUGCUCGCUGAGACGUGUACAAAUCGCCCGUCGCUCCCGUCGAAAGAUGGGAUAAGUCGUAACAUAGUAGGCGUAGCGGAAGCUGUGCCUAAAAUCUA
RNAcentral lists this ribosomal RNA (828 nucleotides) under Phascolosoma sp. MZK-2017. Its description in RNAcentral is "12S ribosomal RNA". The record is from RNAcentral. Lineage: Eukaryota; Metazoa; Annelida; Sipuncula; Phascolosomatiformes; Phascolosomatidae.